GAUUAACGCUGGCGGCGUGCAUAACACAUGCAAGUCGAACGAAGUGGCGGACGGGUGAGUAACGCGUGAGUAACCUGCCUUAGAGAAGGGGAUAGCCUUUGGAAACGAAGAAUAAUACCCAAUGCUCUAAGAUGGCCUUGCGUCUGAUUAGUUAGUUGGUGGGGUAACGGCCCACCAAGACAGCGAUCAGUAGCCGGCGCGGGGAAGUGUACCGGCCCACUAGGACUGGGACACGGCCCGAACUCUACGGAAGGCAGCAGUGCUGAAUUAUGCACAAUGGGGGAAACCCUGAUGCAGCGACGCCGUGUGAUUUAGAAGGCCGUCGGGUUGUCAAAAGCUUUUCUAUGGGAAGCAGUACCAUAUGAAUAAGGACCGGCUAAUUACGUGCCAGCAGCCGCGGUAAUAC
This 406-nucleotide ribosomal RNA is filed under the name uncultured bacterium. Its description in RNAcentral is "partial 16S ribosomal RNA". It matches the Rfam family "Bacterial small subunit ribosomal RNA", at positions 28 to 526 of the family's 1533-position model. The record is from RNAcentral.